AUGGAGCCCAGCAGGAAAGGCAUGAUCUUCAAGUCCCACUUCAACAAGCACUGGCAGUGGUGUGUGGCUACAUGGUUCAACCACGUCUGGACCCAUCCAGCCCAUAGUAAGGUGCUGCAUGGUGAGGUAUCACACCAAAGUACACGCUGGCCAGGGCUUCAGCAUGGAGGAGUUAAGGGUGGUUGGUAUUCACAAGAAGGUGGCACAGAACACUGACAUCUCUGUGGAUCCGAGAAGGCAAAACAAGUCCACCGAGUCCCUGCAAGCCAAUGUGCAGUGCUGAUGGAGUGCCACUCCAAACUCAUCCUCUUCCCCAGGAAGCCCUUGGCCCCCAAGAAGGGAGACAGUUCUGCUGAAGAACUGAAAUUGCCCCAGUAGCUGACAGGACUACUUAUGCCUGUCCAGAAUGUCUAUAAGAAGGAGAAAGCCCGAGGCAUCACUGAGGAAGGGAAGAACUCCAAGGCCUUUGCUAGUCUCCACGUGGCCUGCACAAAUGCCCAGCUCUUCUGCAUAUGGGUAAAAAGAACCAAGGAAGCUGAAGAACAGGAUAUUGAAAAAAAAUAAAGAU
Molecule: long non-coding RNA, 568 nt
Filed under: Homo sapiens (human)
Lineage: Eukaryota; Metazoa; Chordata; Mammalia; Primates; Hominidae
Description: non-protein coding lnc-TRAM1-4:1
Source: RNAcentral